AGCGAACGCUGGCGGCAGGCCUAACACAUGCAAGUCGAACGAACUCUUCGGAGUUAGUGGCGGACGGGUGAGUAACACGUGGGAACGUGCCUUUAGGUUCGGAAUAACUCAGGGAAACUUGUGCUAAUACCGAAUGUGCCCUUCGGGGGACAGAUUUAUCGCCUUUAGAGCGGCCCGCGUCUGAUUAGCUAGUUGGUGGUGUAAUGGACCACCAAGGCGACGAUCAGUAGCUGGUCUGAGAGGAUGAUCAGCCACAUUGGGACUGAGACACGGCCCAAACUCCUACGGGAGGCAGCAGUGGGGAAUCUUGCGCAAUGGGCGAAAGCCUGACGCAGCCAUGCCGCGUGAAUGAUGAAGGUCUUAGGAUUGUAAAAUUCUUUCACCGGGGACGAUAAUGACGGUACCCGGAGAAGAAGCCCCGGCUAACUUCGUGCCAGCCGCCGCCGUAA
Molecule: ribosomal RNA, 449 nt
Filed under: uncultured bacterium
Lineage: Bacteria
Description: partial 16S ribosomal RNA
Rfam family: Bacterial small subunit ribosomal RNA
Source: RNAcentral